Pelobates cultripes (western spadefoot toad) is the source of this 235-nucleotide non-coding RNA. The record is from the annotation of a GenBank genome assembly. NCBI's taxonomy places the organism in Eukaryota, Metazoa, Chordata, Amphibia, Anura, Pelobatidae.
GGUUAAAUUAGUUCAUUCAGUAAAUUCGAGAAUCUACCGAACGCCAGAGCAGAAAUACAUAAAUAGACCUUUCUGCAUAGGAAUAUAAAGUUUUUUAAUGCCGGUCCAUAGUCAAAAGGCAGCAGGCAGGCACGCAACCAGGCUUCUCCAAUGCACAGUGGUGAGAUUGGUCUCGUCACAGAAAUAGAACCUCUUCCUCUGUAAACUCACAUGUAACAAAUGACUCAUUUGUCCU